UACGUAGGCAGCGAGCGUUGUUCGGAGUUACUGGGCGUAAAGGGUGUGUAGGCGGUUUUCUAAGUUUGGUGUGAAAUCUCCCGGCUCAACUGGGAGGGUGCGCCGAAUACUGAGUGACUAGAGUGCGGGAGAGGAAAGUGGAAUUCCUGGUGUAGCGGUGAAAUGCGUAGAUAUCAGGAGGAACAUCGGUGGUGUAGACGGCUUUCUGGACCGUAACUGACGCUGAGACACGAAAGCGUGGGUAGCAAACAGG
RNAcentral lists this ribosomal RNA (253 nucleotides) under uncultured bacterium. RNAcentral describes it as "partial 16S ribosomal RNA". It matches the Rfam family "Bacterial small subunit ribosomal RNA", at positions 524 to 776 of the family's 1533-position model. The record is from RNAcentral.